CGUGACGUCGUUCCGCGCGUGCGCAGUGGCCGGGCACCGGCCGGGCAGGUUUCGGCUAGCGGGGCGGCGCGAAGGGUUUGUGGGAAAUGUGAGGCGAGAGGCUUCGGCGGCGGGAGAAGGGGCUUCGUCCCACCGCCAUCUUUGCGGUGGGUUCUACUGCGUAUUGUCUUUUUUGUUGUUGUUUUAAGCCCUGGGCUUUCCAAGCUUAACUUUCUCACUACCAUUACACUGAAAAAGAGCCCUUGAAAGUUUUGCUCCGAUCUUGCACAUUCUUUUGGAAGUCUUACCGUGGAAAUUGGAAUUGAACAGCUUGGACUUGGAGACAGUGAAUUAAAACAGAAAUAAGAAGGCGGCAGAAAAAGACUAUACCAGAUUGAAAUGUGUUGGAUAUUCAUAUCCACCCAGCACCUCAGAAUGUGGCCAUGGAGGAGGGAGACAGAGAUUGGAGUGACGCAUCUUCAAGCCUAGGAACACUAAGGAUUGCUGGUAACCACCAGAAGCUGGGAGAGGCAACAAAGUGUCCUUUCCUAGAGCCUUCAGAGAGAGCGUGGCCCUGCCAACACCUUGAUUAUACGCUUCAAACUUCUAGAAUUGUGAGAGAAUAAAUUUCUGUUGUUAUAAGCCACCUAGUUUGUGGCCUUUUGUUAUGGCAGCCCUGGGAAACUAAUAAACAUGAUAGUACUGGGAAGUGGGAUGCUGCUGUAGAAAAUACCUAAAAAUGUGGAAGUGGCUUUGGAACUGGGUAGUGGGUAGAGGCUGGGAGAAUUUUUAGGUGCAUGGCAGAAAAAGCCUGGGUUGCCUUAAAGAGAUUGUUGGUAGAAAUACUGAAGUUUAAGGGGCUUCUGGUUAGGGCUCAGAAAGAAGGAAGGAGAGCUAUGGAGAGAGCUUCUAUUGUGUUAAGGCAUAUAUAUAUAUAUAACCACUAAAAGAAUGUUUCCGGAAAUAAUGAGCAAUAAAGGUGCUUCUGGUGAAGUCCCAGAUAUAAAUGGGGAACAUAUUCUUGGACACUAGAGAAAAGGCAAUCCUUGUCAUAAACUGGCAGAAAACUUGGCUGAAUUAUGCUCUACUGUUCGGUGAAAAGUAGAACUUGUAAAAGAAGAACUUGGAUAUUUGGAUUAGGAGAUUUCCAGGCAAAGUAUGAAAGGUGCAGCCAGAUUUCUCUUUGCUGCUUACAGUAAAAUGAGAGAGGAAAGAGAUACAUUGAGAAAUGCACUGUUAAGGAAAAAGAAACCAAGAGUUGAUCAUUGGUAAGAUUCUUACGCUAUCCUAAUAGUAUGCUAUGAAAAAAGAGCUAAGGUGUAGCUGGACAGCUGUUUGCGAUAGACAUUAGGUGUGUGAUUUAGGGAUCCAGUCAACCAUCUCAGUAACAACCUGCAAUAAAGAUGGGGUUAUCCAGGAAGGACCCAUGGAGCACCUUCAUGUCUAACAAUGUGAGACUCCUUGACAUUCAUGAAAGACUUACAUGGUUUUUGAGAAUUUUAUACCAGCAGAAACACUGCCAGCCUGGACUGAAAGGGACAGAGACAAGACAAAAUGAAGGAGGAAUGACUUUUGAGGGCAGAGCCAUGGAUGCAGAGGUCAGAGAGAAAGGAGUUCCUGCCUCAGUGGGCCCAGAGGACAUAGCAUCCAGCCACAAAGGAUUACUCUUAGGCUUUGAAACCUGAGGGAAUUUGCACUGCUGGGUUAUGAACUUGCUAUAGACAAGUAUGGUUUGGCCAUAAGGCCAGAAAGAUUUCACAGGCCUGAACAAAAAUUCUGCCAGGGACAAAGACACUACGAUUGUCUCCUAAUGUUUGGUUUGGAUCAUUAACUAAGCCAAGGUUAAUGAGCAUUAAAUUUUUGAUGAACAUCAGGGUCUUCAAUGAAGAGGAUGAUGAUAAUUGCUAUCAUUGAUUGAGCACUUACCAUGAGCUAGACCCUGAUCUAAGAUCUUUGUGGCUGUUAAAUCUUCACAAUAGCUCCAUGAGGUAGAUCCUAUGAUUAUCCACAUGGUACAGAUAAGUGAAUCAAGGUACGUGGAGGAUAGCAUUCUGCCUACUUUCCUACAGACCAUUAAGUGCAAAAAUGGGAUUUGAUCUCAGCCGGCUACCAUGCUGAUGACAUCUUUCAACCUGCUGGGCUAGCAGGAUAUUGAGAAUUCCAGGAGAAACGAGGUAAGUAGUAUAUUGUAAGAGCAAAACCUUGGAGGGCACAAGGAGAAAACAGCUUCAUUCUUUUCCCCACCAUGUGCUUGAACCUGCUCUGUGGAACUAGUUCCCCUCUGCCCUCUGGGUGUGUCUAGGGCAGGUCCCCUGAAGUUUUUAGUCACCUGUAGAUAAUAAAAGGUUUUCCAGUUACUUACUGUCACAAAGAUAAUCUCAUUUCAGU
This is a long non-coding RNA of Pongo pygmaeus (Bornean orangutan), 2367 nucleotides long. RefSeq lists it as uncharacterized. The transcript is spliced from 4 exons. Lineage: Eukaryota; Metazoa; Chordata; Mammalia; Primates; Hominidae. The record is from RefSeq and is a predicted model, not a curated record.